Molecule: ribosomal RNA, 592 nt
Filed under: Diversispora sp. MAY-2012
Lineage: Eukaryota; Fungi; Glomeromycota; Glomeromycetes; Diversisporales; Diversisporaceae
Description: eukaryotic LSU rRNA
Rfam family: Eukaryotic large subunit ribosomal RNA
Source: RNAcentral
UCCCUCAGUAACGGCGAGUGAAGUGGGAAAAGCUCAAAUUUUAAAUCUACCUGGUACCCCCAGGUCGAGUUGUAAUUUGGAGAAGCGUUUUCGGUGCUUCGGUCUGGUCCAAGUCCUUUGGAACAAGGCAUCACGGAGGGUGAGAAUCCCGUGCAUGGUCAGACCCGAAGUUCCAAUCAGAUACGCUCUCGAAGAGUCGAGUUGUUUGGGAAUGCAGCUCAAAUUGGGUGGUAGACUUCACCUAAGGCUAAAUAUCAGCGAGAGACCGAUAGCGAACAAGUACCGUGAGGGAAAGAUGAAAAGAACUUUGAAAAGAGAGUUAAACAGUACGUGAAAUUGUUGAAAGGGAGACGAUUGAAGUCAGUCGUGCCGAUGAGAAAUCAACUUGACGGGUUUCGGAUUUCUUGGGUUGAGUCAGGGUCAAACCGUCUCUCCCUUGAAUUCGGGAUUUGUUGGGUGUACUUUCUUUGUUGGCAGGUCAGCGUCGAUUUCGGGGGUCGUAAAAUAACUGGGGAAAUGUAGCUCCCUUCGGGGAGUGUUAUAGACCCUGGGGGAUGCGGUCCGCGAGAUCGAGGAUUGCAGCAAAUGCUCU